Pongo abelii (Sumatran orangutan) is the source of this 149-nucleotide non-coding RNA. The record is from Rfam. NCBI's taxonomy places the organism in Eukaryota, Metazoa, Chordata, Mammalia, Primates, Hominidae.
GCUAGGGUGUGGUGGCCGGCACCUGUAGUCCCAGCUACUUGGGAGGCUGAGACAGGAGAAUCGCUUGAGCCCGGGAGGUCAAGGCUGCAGUGGGUGGUAAUGGUGCCACUGCACUCCAGCCUGGGUGAUAAAGUGAGACCCUGUCUCAA